UUAGCGGUGGAUCACUUGGCUCGUGGAUCGAUGAAGAACGCAGCUAGCUGCGAUAACUAGUGCGAAUUGCAGACCCAUUGAGCACUAAAUUUUCGAACGUACAUUGCGCCAUCAGGACCAAUAAUUCCUGCUGGCACGUCUGGUUGAGGGUCGGUU
Molecule: ribosomal RNA, 156 nt
Filed under: Camallanus cotti
Lineage: Eukaryota; Metazoa; Nematoda; Chromadorea; Rhabditida; Camallanidae
Description: 5.8S ribosomal RNA
Rfam family: 5.8S ribosomal RNA
About the family: 5.8S ribosomal RNA (5.8S rRNA) is a component of the large subunit of the eukaryotic ribosome. It is transcribed by RNA polymerase I as part of the 45S precursor that also contains 18S and 28S rRNA. Functionally, it is thought that 5.8S rRNA may be involved in ribosome translocation.
Source: RNAcentral